Molecule: transfer RNA, 85 nt
Filed under: Hyphomicrobiaceae bacterium
Lineage: Bacteria; Pseudomonadati; Pseudomonadota; Alphaproteobacteria; Hyphomicrobiales; Hyphomicrobiaceae
Also listed under: 1 other name
Description: tRNA-Leu
Rfam family: tRNA
About the family: Transfer RNA (tRNA) molecules are approximately 80 nucleotides in length. Their secondary structure includes four short double-helical elements and three loops (D, anti-codon, and T loops).
Source: RNAcentral
GCGGGCGUGGCGGAACUGGUAGACGCACUGGAUUUAGGUUCCAGCGGCGCAAGCCGUGGGGGUUCAAGUCCCUCCGCCCGCACCA